Molecule: ribosomal RNA, 480 nt
Filed under: uncultured bacterium
Lineage: Bacteria
Description: partial 16S ribosomal RNA
Rfam family: Bacterial small subunit ribosomal RNA
Source: RNAcentral
AUGAACGCUGGCGGCGUGCUUAACACAUGCAAGUCGAACGAAACACCUUAUUUGAUUUUCUUCGGAACUGAAGAUUUGGUGAUUGAGUGGCGGACGGGUGAGUAACGCGUGGGUAACCUGCCCUGUACAGGGGGAUAACAGUCAGAAAUGACUGCUAAUACCGCAUAAGACCACAGCACCGCAUGGUGCAGGGGUAAAAACUCCGGUGGUACAGGAUGGACCCGCGUCUGAUUAGCUGGUUGGUGAGGUAACGGCUCACCAAGGCGACGAUCAGUAGCCGGCUUGAGAGAGUGAACGGCCACAUUGGGACUGAGACACGGCCCAAACUCCUACGGGAAGCAGCAGUGGGGAAUAUUGCACAAUGGGGGAAACCCUGAUGCAGCGACGCCGCGUGAGUGAAGAAGUAUUUCGGUAUGUAAAGCUCUAUCAGCAGGGAAGAAAAUGACGGUACCUGACUAAGAAGCCCCGGCUAACUACGUG